GAAGAAGGACUGCGGCAUCCAUGGAGAGCAGAAGCGGCACAAGCUGUACCGCCGCCUGUUCGCGACCUUUCUGAUGCUUGUCAUCCUCGCUCUCCUCGCCGUCCUCGUCGUUUGGCUCGUCCUCCGCCCCACCAAGCCCAGGUUCUACCUCCAGGACGCCGACCUCCUCCGGUUCAACCUCACCCCUGGCGCCGCCCCCCUCCUCACCUCCGUCGUCCAGGUCACCCUCUCCUCCCGCAACCCCAACGACCGCAUCGGCGUCUACUACGACCGUCUCGACGCCUUCGUCCUCUACAACAGCCAGCAGGUCACCGCCGCCACCGCCCU
This 327-nucleotide long non-coding RNA is filed under the name Musa acuminata (dwarf banana). RNAcentral describes it as "long non-coding RNA (MACU_LNC005556)". The record is from RNAcentral. Lineage: Eukaryota; Viridiplantae; Streptophyta; Magnoliopsida; Zingiberales; Musaceae.